Passer montanus (Eurasian tree sparrow) is the source of this 382-nucleotide long non-coding RNA. RefSeq lists it as uncharacterized. Lineage: Eukaryota; Metazoa; Chordata; Aves; Passeriformes; Passeridae. The record is from RefSeq and is a predicted model, not a curated record. The transcript has 4 exons.
AGACCCACAGCGCUCUCUGACAGAAGACAGUGACAUGAUAGGAGUGGUGACACAAAGCUCUUACUGUUACAUUCAAUAAUUGAUUCUCCUGGAUGGAUUGUGACUCCCUAAAGGUUGCAAAGAGAGAAAGAGUUGAAUUAUCCUACUGCUUACCAAGAGAAGAAAAACAGCAUAAGAAUACUGGUUAAUGGGCAUGCUUUGGAUUCACACUGGAUCCUGGAAGCAGAAUUGUCCCCUGUGAAUGUAGAAGUAUCAUGGCUCAUCUGAGAAAAACUUGUCCAUUUUCGAGGCAUCAGUUACAAGGACAGUGCAAUCCAGAGUGACCCAGGGGGUCACAGCUUGUUCCUGUAGGACCAGGGCUGUGCCAGCCCCAGCAUUCCUG